RNAcentral lists this ribosomal RNA (254 nucleotides) under uncultured Lachnospiraceae bacterium. RNAcentral's name for it is "partial 16S ribosomal RNA". It matches the Rfam family "Bacterial small subunit ribosomal RNA", at positions 524 to 776 of the family's 1533-position model. The record is from RNAcentral. Lineage: Bacteria; Bacillati; Bacillota; Clostridia; Lachnospirales; Lachnospiraceae.
UACGUAGGGGGCAAGCGUUAUCCGGAAUUACUUGGGCGUAAAGGGUGAGUAGGCGGUCAUAUAAGUCAUAUGUGGAAGCCCUGGUCUUAAGCCAGGGAGUGCAUAAGAAACUGUAAGACUAGAGUACAGGAGAGGUAAGUGGAAUUCCUAGUGUAGCGGUGAAAUGCGUAGAUAUUAGGAGGAACACCAGUGGCGAAGGCGACUUACUGGACUGAAACUGACGCUGAGUCACGAAAGCGUGGGGAGCAAACAGG